This is a non-coding RNA of Cordylochernes scorpioides, 65 nucleotides long. The record is from the annotation of a GenBank genome assembly. NCBI's taxonomy places the organism in Eukaryota, Metazoa, Arthropoda, Arachnida, Pseudoscorpiones, Chernetidae.
ACUCAGAGAGGACGAACUGGUCUAUUCAGCCGAGCUGAUUGCGAUCAGGGAGGCCCUCAGAGUGU